UGAGUAUUUCCAUAAAAUUUGUAAAUGAGUAUUUCUACAGUGUAUUAAUUUGACAAGUAGUUUGUUUUUUACUUAUUUGGUUUUAUUUUCAACCUCUUCUUAAAAUUGACAAAUUCCUCAUCUGAUUUAUAAAUCCAUUUUACCAUUUGUGUUCUGUUUUCCUCAAUGCUAGAUGUAAAAUCUCAACGUUAGCAUGAUUGCUCUACAUGAUGAUCUUUAUUUUUGCUAUUUGGAUCUUGAUCCAAUGAAGCUUUAUAGUCAUAGUUACACUGAUAGAGCAUCAUGGUAUUUUCCUGCUCUCCCAUUGUUGUUGAUCAUUAUCAUGAUGUAAGUUUGAUCUUUCCAUCAAACUUGUAACACGUCGUGCAAUAUAUGACAAUAGCAGCAAAAGAGGCUGGUCCAAUAUCUCUUUUUCCUGAAAUGUUUUUUCUUUCUUUGAUUUAAGCAAAGCAUUGCUUAAUUUAACAAUGUAAUCUACCAGAAUAAUAAGAUGGGUGAUUCAUGCUCAUGUGCUCACAUUUUGAUUUUUUGUAGUGUUUAUAGGCAAUCUACACGGUCACCUAUAUCUAGCUUAAGACAUUUCCUGUUACUGAACUGAAAAUUGCUUGCUUGUUUGAUUGGACUCAAGUAUAUUUGUUCUUAUCCAAGUGAACAUACUUCCUUUUGCAGGAUAGAAUACCAACUUCCUAAUCUCAUUGUAAAAUUUUUUAUUAUUGUUGAAGUAAUCAAGUAUCUAACUUUAUUAUUUUCUGUUAAUUUUUUUAUGGUUUUGGCCUAAAAUUGUAGUGUCAACGUGUUCAUACACAUAUUGGAGUGUCGUGGACGAAACGAGUAUUUAAGGUUGUUAUGACAUUCUUUACGUGACACAGGAGUGGCUUCACUUUUCCAGUGGACUCGCAUCAAAAUAAAAGGCUUCAACCACAAAGCAUCUCUUCCUCUCAUGGAAGAUUCCUCUGGGGGUUGUUUUAGCGAUGCCACCCUUUCACUAUCCCGUCAACCUUGCUGUCUCAAACAUUGCGCCUGCACUUAUUGCUGGAAACUCCCUUGUGCUAAAGCCUCCAAUACAGGACUUAUUAGCUAUAUCACUGGCAAGGGCUUUUAAAUUGGUGAUUUCCUGACAUUGUACCCAGGGCUAAAUUGCAUAAGGAGAGAAGAAGAAACAUUUAGGGUUUCGUCGGGCCAAGGAUGAUGAUUGUAGACUGUCGAGGAAGCAUUUGCCGAGUGGUCUUAUGGAUAUUCACAAAUCUAAGUCAGCUUAGCUUUUUGUUGGCAAGCUGUUGUGUUUGUCUUCCCAGUUCAUAACAUCUUCAAUGUCAAGGUACAAACCUCAAGAGGAGCACUUCGCAUCACCCACAAACACGAUGUCAAUGUACAAACCUCAGGUUGCAGCAUUGUUGUGGCUGAUUUCGUGUAUUGGUAGUUCUCUGUUUCUUUGGCUGGUAUGUUUUGGGUUUAGGUUAAUGUUUUUGUGGCCUUUUAAAUUUAGAAUAGAUCAUGUUCUGUAUUGCAUUUCUUUUCGCGAUGGUUGUGAUCUUGUGCAUGAUGGAUUCUGAAUAAAGCUCGUGAGGGUGCUAUAAGAAUGUGGACUCCUGGUUUGUGGUUGGGGUUCAAGUGUUAGUGAGGAGUCUUAUGAUGUUGAUCAUUUUCUAUUUUGAGGGUUGAUGUUCUAAUUAUAGUGCUUCCCAAAAGAUCUUAUUAAUACUUAGGUAAGUUAGGUUGUAAUUUAGUUUCUUAAUUGCUAUAUUUCAUGAUAUUCAUCCUAUGACUUGUGGACUGUGGCAUAUGUUAGCUAGGCCAUUGCUACAAGCCUACAACUAUAUAAAUUUUGAAUAAAAGGUUUUAGGCGUGUUUUUUUUACAUCCCAUAAUUGAUUUAACGAAUAAUAGAUCAAAAAUACUUAUAUAAGGUUAUCCAAUAUUUUAUUAUUAUCAUCAUCAGUGGUAGUAGUCUUUGUCUUAGAAGUAAUUUGCUUCAUUUGAACGGUCCAAAUUAGAUGGAUAGAAUAAUUUUUCUUUUGAAUGAACACUUCUUUCCUUGCUCUAAA
Molecule: long non-coding RNA, 2044 nt
Organism: Beta vulgaris subsp. vulgaris (sugar beet)
Lineage: Eukaryota; Viridiplantae; Streptophyta; Magnoliopsida; Caryophyllales; Amaranthaceae
Exons: 6
Source: RefSeq, a predicted model, not a curated record